RNAcentral lists this ribosomal RNA (493 nucleotides) under Bacillus cereus. Its description in RNAcentral is "bacterial SSU rRNA". It matches the Rfam family "Bacterial small subunit ribosomal RNA", at positions 13 to 486 of the family's 1533-position model. The record is from RNAcentral. Lineage: Bacteria; Bacillati; Bacillota; Bacilli; Caryophanales; Bacillaceae.
UUGAUCCUGGCUCAGGAUGAACGCUGGCGGCGUGCCUAAUACAUGCAAGUCGAGCGAAUGGAUUAAGAGCUUGCUCUUAUGAAGUUAGCGGCGGACGGGUGAGUAACACGUGGGUAACCUGCCCAUAAGACUGGGAUAACUCCGGGAAACCGGGGCUAAUACCGGAUAACAUUUUGAACCGCAUGGUUCGAAAUUGAAAGGCGGCUUCGGCUGUCACUUAUGGAUGGACCCGCGUCGCAUUAGCUAGUUGGUGAGGUAACGGCUCACCAAGGCAACGAUGCGUAGCCGACCUGAGAGGGUGAUCGGCCACACUGGGACUGAGACACGGCCCAGACUCCUACGGGAGGCAGCAGUAGGGAAUCUUCCGCAAUGGACGAAAGUCUGACGGAGCAACGCCGCGUGAGUGAUGAAGGCUUUCGGGUCGUAAAACUCUGUUGUUAGGGAAGAACAACCACUAGUUGAAUAAGCUGGCACCUUGACGGUACCUAACCAG